AGUGAACGCUGGCGGUAGGCCUAACACAUGCAAGUCGAACGGCAGCACAGGAGAGCUUGCUCUCUGGGUGGCGAGUGGCGGACGGGUGAGGAAUACAUCGGAAUCUACUUUUUCGUGGGGGAUAACGUAGGGAAACUUACGCUAAUACCGCAUACGACCUACGGGUGAAAGCAGGGGAUCUUCGGACCUUGCGCGAUUGAAUGAGCCGAUGUCGGAUUAGCUAGUUGGCGGGGUAGAGGCCCACCAAGGCGACGAUCCGUAGCUGGUCUGAGAGGAUGAUCAGCCGCACUGGAACUGAGACACGGUCCAGACUCCUACGGGAGGCAGCAGUGGGGAAUAUUGGACAAUGGGCGCAAGCCUGAUCCAGCCAUACCGCGUGGGUGAAGAAGGCCUUCGGGUUGUAAAGCCCUUUUGUUGGGAAAGAAAUCCAGCUGGUUAAUACCCGGUUGGGAUGACGGUACCCAAAGAAUAAGCACCGGCUAACUUCGUGCCAGCAGCCGCGGUAA
RNAcentral lists this ribosomal RNA (506 nucleotides) under uncultured bacterium. Its description in RNAcentral is "partial 16S ribosomal RNA". It matches the Rfam family "Bacterial small subunit ribosomal RNA", at positions 29 to 523 of the family's 1533-position model. The record is from RNAcentral.